GCAUCGAUGAAGAACGCAGCGAAUUGCGAUAAGUAAUGUGAAUUGCAGAUUUUCGUGAAUCAUCGAAUCUUUGAACGCAUAUUGCGCUCUAUAGUAUUCUAUAGAGCAUGCCUGUUUGAGCGUCAUUUCUCUCUUAAACCUUUGGGUUUAGUAUUGAAGGUUGUGUUAGCUUCUGCUAACUCCUUUGAAAUGACUUGGCAAUUGAUUGAGUUUUCCAUAUAUUUGCUUAAGGAUUUAAUAUUAGGUUCUACCAACUUAUUAAAUACCCUUUUGCGAAGGACUUACUCGUGUAUCAAGGCCUUAUAACUUUGUCAUUAAUUUUGACCUCAAAUCAGGUAAGGAUACCCGCUGAACUUAAGCAUAUCAAUAAGCGGAGGA
Molecule: ribosomal RNA, 378 nt
Filed under: Saccharomycopsis fibuligera
Lineage: Eukaryota; Fungi; Ascomycota; Saccharomycetes; Ascoideales; Saccharomycopsidaceae
Description: eukaryotic LSU rRNA
Rfam family: 5.8S ribosomal RNA (bases 1-125)
Source: RNAcentral